RNAcentral lists this ribosomal RNA (253 nucleotides) under uncultured Plesiocystis sp. RNAcentral's name for it is "partial 16S ribosomal RNA". It matches the Rfam family "Bacterial small subunit ribosomal RNA", at positions 524 to 776 of the family's 1533-position model. Lineage: Bacteria; Pseudomonadati; Myxococcota; Nannocystales; Nannocystaceae. The record is from RNAcentral.
UACGGAGGGUGCAAACGUUGCUCGGAAUCAUUGGGCGUAAAGCGCACGUAGGCGGCCUGCCAAGUUGAAUGUGAAAGCCCUGGGCUCAACCCAGGAAGUGCAUCCAAAACUGGCAGGCUUGAGUAUCGGAGGGGCUCAGAGAAUUCCCGGUGUAGCGGUGAAAUGCGUAGAUAUCGGGAGGAAUACCAGUGGCGAAGGCGCUGAGCUGGACGGUUACUGACGCUGAGGUGCGAAAGCGUGGGGAGCAAACAGG